UUCCAGACUCCUACGGGAGGCAGCAGUGGGGAAUAUUGCACAAUGGGGGAAACCCUGAUGCAGCGACGCCGCGUGAGCGAUGAAGUAUUUCGGUAUGUAAAGCUCUAUCAGCAGGGAAGAAGAUGACGGUACCUGACUAAGAAGCCCUGGCUAACUACGUGCCAGCAGCCGCGGUAAUACGUAGGGGGCAAGCGUUAUCCGGAUUUACUGGGUGUAAAGGGAGCGUAGACGGCGAUGCAAGCCAGAUGUGAAAGCCCGGGGCUCAACCCCGGGACUGCAUUUGGAACUGUGUGGCUGGAGUGUCGGAGAGGCAGGCGGAAUUCCUAGUGUAGCGGUGAAAUGCGUAGAUAUUAGGAGGAACACCAGUGGCGAAGGCGGCCUGCUGGACGAUGACUGACGUUGAGGCUCGAAAGCGUGGGGAGCAAACAGGAUUAGAUACCCGGGUAG
RNAcentral lists this ribosomal RNA (447 nucleotides) under uncultured bacterium. RNAcentral describes it as "bacterial SSU rRNA". It matches the Rfam family "Bacterial small subunit ribosomal RNA", at positions 329 to 793 of the family's 1533-position model. The record is from RNAcentral.